UGUGAAAAAAAUAAGAACAAUAAGAAUUCUAUAAAGUUGCUCUCUUCUCUUUACUCUCUUUUCUCCUCUGUUCACUCUCAUAAUUCGAAGUCGUUACCUCGCUAGUUCUCAACAUGUUUAAAAUAUUUUAAAUGUGUUUAGUUGUUUGGAUACCCUCUCUGUAGUAAUGGCAUUUCAUUGUAAAUAUAAAAUUUAUUUUGGACAUUUUCACUUUUGUGUUGCUAUUUUAAUAGAAUAGAUUAUGAAUAUAUCAGUUUUCACCAAUAUUAAGAAGAAAUUUUAAUAUUUAAUUAUGAAUAUAUCAGUUUUGGUACUAAACAUUU
This 323-nucleotide long non-coding RNA is filed under the name Arabidopsis lyrata. RNAcentral's name for it is "long non-coding RNA (ALYR_LNC002760)". Lineage: Eukaryota; Viridiplantae; Streptophyta; Magnoliopsida; Brassicales; Brassicaceae. The record is from RNAcentral.